CUUAGAGUUUGAUCCUGGCUCAGGAUCUACGCUGGCGGUAUGCUUAACACAUGCAAGUCGAACGGUGUCUUCGGACAUAGUGGCGGACGGGUGAGUAACGCGUGAGAAUCUAGCUUCAGGUCUGGGACAACCACUGGAAACGGUGGCUAAUACCGGAUGUGCCGGAAGGUGAAAGGCUUGCUGCCUGAAGAUGAGCUCGCGUCCGAUUAGCUAGUAGGUGGGGUAAGAGCCUACCUAGGCGACGAUCGGUAGCUGGUCUGAGAGGAUGACCAGCCACACUGGGACUGAGACACGGCCCAGACUCCUACGGGAGGCAGCAGUGGGGAAUUUUCCGCAAUGGGCGAAAGCCUGACGGAGCAAUACCGCGUGAGGGAGGAAGGCUCUUGGGUUGUAAACCUCUUUUCUCAGGGAAGAACACAAUGACGGUACCUGAGGAAUCAGCAUCGGCUAACUCCGUGCCAGCAGCCGCGGUAAUACGGAGGAUGCAAGCGUUAUCCGGAAUGAUUGGGCGUAAAGCGUCCGCAGGUGGCUGUGUAAGUCUGCUGUCAAAGAGCAAAGCUCAACUUUGUAAAGGCAGUGGAAACUACACGGCUAGAGUGCGUUCGGGGCAGAGGGAAUUCCUGGUGUAGCGGUGAAAUGCGUAGAGAUCAGGAAGAACACCGGUGGCGAAGGCGCUCUGCUAGGCCGCAACUGACACUGAGGGACGAAAGCUAGGGGAGCGAAUGGGAUUAGAGACCCCAGUAGUCCUAGCUGUAAACGAUG
This 762-nucleotide ribosomal RNA is filed under the name uncultured bacterium. RNAcentral describes it as "bacterial SSU rRNA". It matches the Rfam family "Bacterial small subunit ribosomal RNA", at positions 1 to 811 of the family's 1533-position model. The record is from RNAcentral.